CAGCUCUCCGAGUGGUAGGGAUGAUUAUUGGGCUUAAAGCGUCCGUAGCCGGCUUAGCAAGUCUCCUGUUAAAUUCAGCGACCUAAUCGUUGAGCCGCGGGAGAUACUACUAGGCUAGGAGGCGGGAGAGGUCGACGGUACUUCUGGGGUAGGGGUGAAAUCCUAUAAUCCCAGGAGGACCACCAGUGGCGAAGGCUGUCGACUAGAACGCGCUCGACGGUGAGGGACGAAAGCGUGGGGAGCAAACCGGAUUAGAUACCCGAGUAGUCC
Molecule: ribosomal RNA, 270 nt
Filed under: uncultured archaeon
Lineage: Archaea
Description: partial 16S ribosomal RNA
Rfam family: Archaeal small subunit ribosomal RNA
Source: RNAcentral